RNAcentral lists this ribosomal RNA (380 nucleotides) under uncultured eukaryote. Its description in RNAcentral is "partial 18S ribosomal RNA". It matches the Rfam family "Eukaryotic small subunit ribosomal RNA", at positions 592 to 976 of the family's 1831-position model. The record is from RNAcentral.
CAAUAGCGUAUAUUAAAGUUGUUGCGGUUAAAAAGCUCGUAGUUGGAUUUCUGCUGAGAACGACCGGUCCGCCCUUUGGGUGUGUAUCUGGCUCUUUCUUGGCAUCUUCUUGGUGAACGUUGCUGCACUUGACUGUGUGGGGCGCUACCCAGGACUUUUACUUUGAGGAAAUUAGAGUGUUUCAAGCAGGCAUACGCCUUGAAUACAUUAGCAUGGAAUAAUAAGAUAGGACCUCGGUUCUAUUUUGUUGGUUUCUAGAGCUGAGGUAAUGAUUAAUAGGGAUAGUUGGGGGCAUUCGUAUUUAACUGUCAGAGGUGAAAUUCUUGGAUUUGUUAAAGACGGACUACUGCGAAANCANNNGCCAAGGAUGUUUUCAUNGA